Felis catus (domestic cat) is the source of this 937-nucleotide long non-coding RNA. RefSeq lists it as uncharacterized. The record is from RefSeq and is a predicted model, not a curated record. The transcript is spliced from 2 exons. Lineage: Eukaryota; Metazoa; Chordata; Mammalia; Carnivora; Felidae.
UUCAGAUAUGAUCUGACAACAUCUGUUCUCUCCAAUGUGGUACAUACUUCAGCACCACAAGGUGCUAUGCUGAGUGCCACAACAAAUAGGAAGAUGAUUUAAAUAUAUGUCCUGUAUCAAGAGGUCAAUAUGGAGAUGGCAGUGACCUGAUGAUUAGCAAGGUUGAGAAUGUCUUUUGUAAUAAAAGAAAUAAGUGCAUGUCCUGAGAAUUCAGAGAUAGGAGAAGUUAUUUCCAACUGGGGAUUUAUUUCAUGAGAAUAUCAGCACAUGAGCUGGACCUUCAAAGUGAGUAAGAUUUGAACAUAUAAAGAAGCAAGAGUGACCUACUGAAGUACUCUGAGCUCCAGAAUGACACAGCAAAAGCUCUAUUUCAGGAAGAUUAAACAGACUGAGAGGAAGGACCAGACCUUCAGAAUUGUUGUCAUCUGCUUCAGUGAAGAAGAAACAUCAAAACUUUCUUUCCCAGGCAGUUUCUUCAAAUGGUGCACCAAAUAAGCAAGGCCAUACUUUUUCGUGAGACAAUCCCCUUUCUUCCCAUUGCAUCAGUAUUUCAGUCGCAGAUUCUAAUCACCCCUCAAAUAGACACUGUUUAUAAUCAAAUUGUAUUUUUUAGUAACUAAUCUGAUCAUAUACUGUAACCACUAGGAAGAGCACAGGGGUCUCAAUCACUGAUGCAGUCCAAGAUCUAAUAAGGGUCAAGGACUAAACGGAGACCCAGAAGAGACAAAACUAGCAUCACAAGGAGUCACAGAGGUGGGAGAGGAAUGGAUGAGUCACCAUGGUGCCCCCAAACUUGUUGGAGAAAAAGUGUAUUAUGGGUACACUAGAAAAUUCCUAACUAUGUUUAUUAAGUAGGUUACCAUUCUUUUAUUUCUGUAACAGGUAAAAAUAAAAAUAGACCAAAACAAAAUAAAAAGGGACACUCUAAUUCAGUGAC